This 449-nucleotide ribosomal RNA is filed under the name uncultured bacterium. Its description in RNAcentral is "bacterial SSU rRNA". It matches the Rfam family "Bacterial small subunit ribosomal RNA", at positions 354 to 796 of the family's 1533-position model. The record is from RNAcentral.
GUCGAGAAUUUUUCACAAUGGGCGAAAGCCUGAUGGAGCGACGCCGCGUGGGGGAUGAAUGGCUUCGGCCCGUAAACCCCUGUCAUUCGGGAUCAAUUCCGCCAACCUAACACGUUGUCGGUUGAUAGUACUGAAAGAGGAAGGGACGGCUAACUCUGUGCCAGCAGCCGCGGUAAUACAGAGGUCCCAAGCGUUGUUCGGAUUUACUGGGCGUAAAGGGAGCGUAGGUGGCGGGCAAAGUCUAAUGUGAAAGCUCUGAGCUUAACUCAGAAAUGGCAUUGGAUACUGGCCUGCUUGAGGAUUGGAGGGGAGACUGGAAUACUUGGUGUAGCAGUGAAAUGCGUAGAUAUCAAGUGGAACACCAGUGGCGAAGGCGAGUCUCUGGACAAUUCCUGACACUGAUGCUCGAAAGCUAGGGGAGCAAACGGGAUUAGAAACCCGUGUAGUCC